This 296-nucleotide small RNA is filed under the name Homo sapiens (human). RNAcentral's name for it is "Metazoan signal recognition particle RNA (ENSG00000274772.1)". Lineage: Eukaryota; Metazoa; Chordata; Mammalia; Primates; Hominidae. The record is from RNAcentral.
GCCAGGCGUGGUGACAGGAGCCUGUAGUCCCAGCUACUCGGGAGGCUGAGGCAGGAGAAUGGCAUGAACCCAGGAGGCAGAGCUUGCAGUGAGCCAAGAUAGUGCCACUGCACUCUAGCCUGGGCGACAGAGCGAGACUCUGUCUCAAAAAUUAAAAAUAAAAAUAAAAUAAAAUAAAAUAUUCUUUUUUUUUUUUUGAGACAGAGUCUCGCUCUGUCACCCAGGCUGGAGUGCAGUGGCACAAUCUUGGCUCACUGCAAGCUCCGCCUCCUGGGUUCAAGCGAUUCUCUGUCUCA